CUUUCACACUAUGUUUUCCCUUGGGCAAUUUUGUUAUGUGAGAAGCAUUCUUUAGCUCAUACAUAUUUCCGAGGGCAACUUCUCCCAGUAGUAUUAACCCAAUUGGAUCAGCUUGAGAUGUGUGACAGUAGUUGGCACUCUUGGAAACCAUAUCUGCAAAGUAGAUGCCCUUCCCAAACAUGUAGCCGGUCACAGGAGCUUCAGGGGGAGCUAUCCGGAGACCCUGUGAGAGGAUACCAGCGAAGUUGGUGGUGCGGGAACCGUGCCACAGCAGCUGGCGAUUAUGAAGCUGCUUAAAUGGCUUGUAACGCUGACUCUCUCCUUCACGUUCAAUCCUGAAGAUUUCCACAACUUUGAGGUCAUAUGCAUUGUGAGUAGCAGCAUGAGUAUUUUUCACGUAUUGUUUAAUAAUCUUGGCUUCUUCUGAAUCUUUGUCAACCACCUUAAUAUCAGUUCGGAGCUUUUCAUAAUUGAUAUCAAUUGGGUCUUUGUCUCCAUCUUCAUUUCCACCUCUGAGAAGACUGUAAGCAACCUCAAUAUCGAGCAAGUUGUCCAACAUCUGCACUUUAGCCUGAAUGUAUUCCAAGUUACUGAGAAGAGGUGGUUUCUUCAUCCCAAAGUCAUGAGGGAUCAGAGUAUAGAAGCGGUUUGAGAGGUCCAAGAUCUGGGAUUCAGAACCACCGUCAGAAACCGCCUGCUGAACCUCGUUAAGGAUGGAGUAUGCACUUUGGAUCUGUCGCUUGCUCAGUUUCCCCAGUGGCAUCUUCUGCAGGUCAAUCUCAAAUUCCACCAUGGCUUUCUUCAUGCUCUCCACAUCAAAAAUCAUCUUAAUAAGGUCUUGGAUUGGCUUAGCAAGCUUCGAUUUAGUCCCAGCACUCACUGUCAGUUUCCUGACAGCUUCUUCAUCCUGUCCAUAAUCUAUUUCCAGUGGGUAGAAUUUUUUGGGAUAUUUAGUGAAGUUCUUUGAAUGCCAAGAAUUGCCAGUUUUCUCUUCGUACAAAUUUAGGAAGUGUUCAACAGCAUCUUCUUUUGAUGGCAUCUGCUCCAGCUUGUUACUCCCAAUGACAGUGCCCACACGACCCCAGGAUCUGAACACCCAGUACCUGCUCUCUCUGUCAUCCUCCAGCAGCUGCAGUUUGUAAUAGGAAUUUGUUCCUUUCACAAUAUCCACUAGGCCAAGAGUUGCACUGAAAAUCUUCCCACCUUUUUCAAAGACAUGAGCAGAAUCCUCCAAGCCGGAAUCAGGAUCUACUGCUGCUCCACCUUUAACUGUUAGCUUCAUUUUCUUCUCAGACUUGCUAGGUCCUUGUUCUUCUUUGACCUUCCCAGCACUCUUCAUAUUUGCAGGCUUGCUGCACUUCCCAUCCACCGCCACCUCCUGGUGCUCCGUUUUCACCUCUGCACCCCAAGGUGAAAUUGCAUGGAGAGAGAGAAGCUCCUGAAAGCCCUUGCUGGAAGAUUUCACAUCCUUAAGAAACUCCUCUGAGACCACACGAACUUUGGCAUCCUUCACUUCUUCCAUCUUCUUGCUCAUUUUCUCCACCUCCUUUUGUGUGCUGAUGCACAGGGUGGCCUUGUUAGCUGUUGUUGUCAUCUUUCCUCCCAGCUCCUCCACAAUAUUCUUCACUUCCUCCUUGUUCUUGGACAGCUUUCCAAGAGUCAGGAUCUUCAUGUUGGUCAGUGGUUUCUCUUGGGGUGCAGUGACAGUCUCUGUCAAUGGAGCGGAUGCAGAUGGAGGCGGUGCAGAGUUCACAGUUGCAGCCUCAGGAGGGAAUAUCCUAUCCUGCUUCUUACACUUAAAUUUUUUGAGAUAAGGAAUCUCACGAAAUUCCUUCGGGAUUACCCAGUCUUUCCUAUUGGGAGUCUGUGUUUUAGCCACACACUUAGUCCAGGCAGUAAUGUCCCCUGAGCAGUAGUAUGCAUCGCUCUUGAACACAAACUGCCCUUUACACUCCUCACAAGGAAGCAGAGCUCCAAACGCCAUCCCGUCUGCCACUCUGUCCAAGAUUGCAUUCUCCCCUGAAGGCACCUCCUGCUUGUUGGCGAUCAGCAGCUCUUUCAGGUCAUUCGUGGAGCAGACCUUCCUCAGCUCAUCCUUGAUGCCCCAGAUCAGCUCUGUCUGCUCCUUCAGCUGUUUUUCCUGCUUUGAUUCUUUUUCUUUUUCUUUUCUUGAUUUCUUUUUUGCAACCACAUUUCCAUCUACCUCUUCUCCUUUUCUCUUUCCUUCAGUCUUAGUAGCUGGUAGCUGUUUCUUCAGAGUUUCUUUAUCUUCAGCUUUCAAGAUGCUGAAACCCAGGAGCUGUGUGGCCCCAUAUGCUGGGAGGAAGCCCAGCUCUGCCCGGCGGCUGACGAAGCAGUCCGGGUGGUACCAGUUAUCGAUCAUCCCCAGCUGUGGUUUCUCAGGAUGCACCAUCUUCUUGGAAAUCCGAAUCUGGCCCUUUUCUAUUUUCUGCUCACAGCCUUUGCAAGUACUCCUGUUAGACUUGGCAUACUCUGCAGCAAAGUCAGUUAGGCUCUUCUCAGCCUUGCCACCUCCUUCCUGGUCCCCCCCUUUUCCUCCUGCAGGGCCUCCGGUUUCAAUAGCCUUCUUGAUUUUCUCCUGGUCCUCCCAGCGGAGCUCAGGGAAGCCAUCGAUGUCUGUGUGGGACACGAUCCGCGCCCGCUUCCAGAAGCAGCUGUAGUGGUGCCAGUGAGGGACUUUGCCAUCGAACAUGGGCGACUGCACCAUGAGGGCCAGGCGCAGCGAGUCCUUGGCGAUGCUCUCGCCGCACUUCUUGCACGACGCCCGCCCGCUCUUGGCGUACUCCGCGCGGUACGGCUUGUCCCCCGUCUCCGCCAUCGCUGCCGAGCUCGAGAGCCGAGCCCCGAGCCCAGGCACGCCGAGCCGAGCCGAGCCGAGCCGAGCCGCGCCGCGCGCCCACCGCAGGCAGAACUAGCCGAGCGUCGAGCGCCCUGCCCGCCCCAGCGCCCGGCCGCCAUCCGCCGCUCGGGCAGCAACUGGGCAUGUCUGACGGCGCCUGGAACCUUCCGGUGCGAUGCGGGGUAUCAAUGGAGGGGCGGGGAGCGGCGGUCCCGUGACGGAGGCUGGGGGCGGGGCCUCCUGCGUUCCGCUCCCCUUGGAGGUGAUACCCCGUAAGGGCAGCAGGGGGCGCUGCUAAUACAGCCUCGCCGGAGAAGCGCCGUGGGAGGCGCUGAAGUUCUCCAACCCGUCGCGAAGUAAUUCCGUUCCUUCGAUGGUGACCCCGGGGGUUCCUGCAAAGGGGGAAUGGCUCCCUGGUGGCGUUCCCUCCCGCUCGGGCCACUACAUGAACACUGUUGGAGGUCCCGGGAUGCCACCACACAGCUCCAUGUUGAAGCAGGACCGAGUGCUUCCCCUCGCACUGUGCUGACGGUGCCUUGAGCACUAAACCCUCCAUACUGUGUUGCACUGAUCUCCAUUUCUGAUGCAUGCAAAGAUGCCUUCUGACAAGUUUUCCACCCUGUGGAGCAUCUCAUAAAGGGUGAGAAAAUGUUGGAAGACUACCCUACAUAGCCUGUAGGGCUAGAACUGUCUUUACUCGGGUCUGGAUUUGUUGCUGGGGGAGACGAUUUAGUACUAAUUGAGAAAUCUGUACGGAAAAGCCCUUUCAGUGCUAUGUUAUCCUGUCCCUAUGGACGAUUUGUUUCUUCCGUGGUGCUGCACACAAUCGCUAUGGCUGGUAUGACCUUGUUUGCAUGUAGGCAGCUGCCUAGGUGCAACAAGUGGCUGUGGCUCAGCUGUGCCUUCCCUCAUCGUGCAAGUGAUCAACCCCCUGACAUCAGCCAGAGCACUCCAAUGGGAAUGGGAUGCAAAACCACGCACCCCACAUCUACCUGUCACGCUGUCUUUUCUUGCCACAGAAUAAAUGAAAGGGGUUAUUCCACUCUCUGUGAAAGAAUGUGUCUCCUACCGUGGCUCCUGUGCAAGUGUGUGGUUUUGGUGCCUAGA
RNAcentral lists this long non-coding RNA (3967 nucleotides) under Gallus gallus (chicken). Lineage: Eukaryota; Metazoa; Chordata; Aves; Galliformes; Phasianidae. The record is from RNAcentral.